This is a non-coding RNA of Phalacrocorax carbo (great cormorant), 495 nucleotides long. The record is from RefSeq and is a predicted model, not a curated record. NCBI's taxonomy places the organism in Eukaryota, Metazoa, Chordata, Aves, Suliformes, Phalacrocoracidae.
AUCCUUCUACUUUAUAGCGAGUAGAACAACGUUUAAAAAUAAUCCAACCCUAAAGAAACCCCCAAAUCCGUACAAAGAGGGGGGGUUAGGCGAGGUGACUCAGGGGAGAGAACGGCAGCCCCACGCUGCUGGGGGCGCUUGAAGCGGGGAUUUGGGGUGCUGUCACGACACAUGUGCGUGUCCGUGCGUCCGUCCGCGUGUCCGUGGCCGGCCGGGAGCCGCACACAGCGGCAGGCGGGCUCCGGGCUGGAGGGCUCGGUCCUGCGUGUGGAGCCUGAGCUAUGGAAAUGUGAAACCUCGAAAUAAAACAUGAGAAGAUGAAGGGGUUGGACAAAUUCAGCUGGAGGAGAGAGAGCGAGCUGCUGUCUUAAAAGCAGCCAGCGGAGGCUAAUGAGACCUUUGGGGUGGGAAGAAGGCAAGCCCUCCUCAGCGGAGCCCCGGGCUCGCCCCCCGAGCCGCACAGCCACCCCGAGCUCUCCCUGCUGCACGUUACCA